CAAAACACACUUCAUCACCUGUUUAACAAUCAAAACCUAUGAUGGAUUCCCUCUAACACAACAUCCAUCAUUCAGAUUCUAGAGAAUGAUAUGAAUCUAGUUGAUUUUGAACACCCCGUUGGUGAAACCACCGAUGAUCAUAAACUACUAACAUAAUUUUCUGAUUUUGAACAACCUCCAUCUUUGAACACCAUGUUUG
This 199-nucleotide long non-coding RNA is filed under the name Lathyrus oleraceus (garden pea). Its description in RNAcentral is "Pisum sativum (pea) long non-coding RNA (PSAT_LNC018700)". The record is from RNAcentral. Lineage: Eukaryota; Viridiplantae; Streptophyta; Magnoliopsida; Fabales; Fabaceae.